RNAcentral lists this ribosomal RNA (301 nucleotides) under uncultured bacterium. Its description in RNAcentral is "partial 16S ribosomal RNA". It matches the Rfam family "Bacterial small subunit ribosomal RNA", at positions 509 to 807 of the family's 1533-position model. The record is from RNAcentral.
CAGUCGCCGCGGUAAUACGGAGGGUGCAAGCGUUAAUCGGAAUUACUGGGCGUAAAGCGCACGCAGGCGGUUUGUUAAGUCAGAUGUGAAAUCCCCGAGCUUAACUUGGGAACUGCAUUUGAAACUGGCAAGCUAGAGUGUGGCAGAGGGGGGUGGAAUUCCGCGUGUAGCAGUGAAAUGCGUAGAUAUGCGGAGGAACACCGAUGGCGAAGGCAGCCCCCUGGGCCAACACUGACGCUCAUGCACGAAAGCGUGGGGAGCAAACAGGAUUAGAUACCCCUGUAGUCCCUGUCUCUUAUAC